This 258-nucleotide ribosomal RNA is filed under the name uncultured Glomus. RNAcentral describes it as "partial 18S ribosomal RNA". It matches the Rfam family "Eukaryotic small subunit ribosomal RNA", at positions 624 to 886 of the family's 1831-position model. Lineage: Eukaryota; Fungi; Glomeromycota; Glomeromycetes; Glomerales; Glomeraceae. The record is from RNAcentral.
AAGCUCGUAGUUGAAUUUCGGGGUCAGUAGGUUGGUCGUGCCACCGGUACGUACUGGUCUCACUGAUUCCUCCUUCCUGAUGAGCUGUAAUGCCAUUAAUUUGGUGUGGCAGGGAAUCUGGACUGUUACUUUGAAAAAAUUAGAGUGUUUAAAGCAGGCUAACGCUUGAAUACAUUAGCAUGGAAUAAUGAAAUAGGACGUUCGAUCCUAUUUUGUUGGUUUCUAGGAUUGACGUAAUGAUUAAUAGGGAUAGUUGGG